RNAcentral lists this ribosomal RNA (399 nucleotides) under Triticum aestivum (bread wheat). Its description in RNAcentral is "partial small subunit ribosomal RNA". Lineage: Eukaryota; Viridiplantae; Streptophyta; Magnoliopsida; Poales; Poaceae. The record is from RNAcentral.
AUGGCUAUGUACCCGGCAGGGGGGACCACCGCCGAUCUGAUUUCUGCCAUUGAUCAAGCAGUGCAAGACGAGGUGGACGUGCUGGUGUUGUCCAUCGGCCCAGAAGCGCGCCCACCGACCAAGGUCACCUUUCCUCGGCAUGCUCGACGUGGCUCUCCUGUUCGCGAGGAGGGCCGGCGUGUUUGUGGCUCAGGCAGCCGGCAACGGCGGCCCGGCGCAGUCCUCGGUCACCUCCUACAGCCCAUGGGCGACGACGGUCGCUGCCGGCACCACCGGCCGGACCCACACGCCAUGGCUGGUCCUCGGCAACGGCCAACGCGUCCCGGGGAUCGGCCUCUCGGCACCCACUCCGGGCGGGGGCCUGCUCCCGCACAGGCUUAUCGUCGUCGGGGAGGAUGA